GUCGGGAGGGGCGAGUUAUCCUUUUACUGGAAGAAGACGCCACCACUCAGUCACUCCACUCACUGGGACUUCUUCACCAGUGAGGUGACGCCACCGGCCCGGUUUUGCCGGCAUUCCCAAGUUCAACCAUUUAAGCGGCAUUUUCCGGUAUCGCUGUGAAGCAGGCGAAGACGCAAGCCAAACCGGCUCCUCGCUGCAGCAACAGGGCGCCCGAGCCAGCCAGCUGCCAGUUCACCAGCGAGCGAGAUGCCCGCGUCGGCUCCAGCUCGGAGCCUCGAAGGGAAGAAACGCGACGGGCGAACCGAGACGCCGAGCCUCUUGGGCGGCACAGAAUGCGAAUGGUGACGAGACGACGGAGUCUACGACUACAAGACGAACCGAGAGGAUGUAGCGUCACCGCCGCAGCUUUCCUAACUAACGUCCGUAGAGUAGAAGAUAGAUAGCCGAGGAGGAGCUAGCUUCACUAACAUUUACAUGUAAAGUUGCUCGUGGGGGCGGCCGGGGGGGAGGCGGAUCUGUGGAACCAAAGCCGCCUGGAGAGUUGUGGGAAUCAAGAUGCUACGAAGAAGCCUCAACCGACUGCUUAAAGGCGAUGAAAGAAGAGUAGACAGUCGGACUAUCUACGUUGGUCAUCGGCCAUGUUCUGCUAGCGAGCCUUUCAUCCCGCCAAAGUUUUGUGACAACAGAAUCGUGUCGUCCAAGUAUACCGUGUGGAACUUUUUACCAAAGAACUUGUUUGAGCAGUUCCGAAGAAUUGCCAAUUUCUACUUCCUGAUCAUCUUCCUUGUGCAGGUGAUAGUGGACACCCCCACCAGUCCAGUCACCAGCGGCCUACCCUUAUGUUUUGUGAUUACAGUGACAGCGAUCAAGCAGGGCUACGAAGACUGGCUAAGACACAAGGCUGACAAUGAGGUGAACAAGUACCCUGUGACUGUGCUCGAAAACGGUCUGAGGCUACGGAAGGAGAGCGAGAAGAUCAAGGUGGGAGAUGUUUUGGAGGUAGCGGAAGAGGAGACCUUUCCCUGUGAUUUAAUCCUGCUUCGAUCCAGCCGGGAUGACGACACCUGUUUUGUUACCACUGCUAGUCUGGAUGGUGAAUCCAACCAUAAAACACACUACACUGUUCCAGACAUAGAGAAGGAUCUGGAAUCCCUCAGUGCCACUUUAGAGUGUGAACAGCCCCAGCCUGACCUUUAUAAGUUCAUUGGCCGUAUGCACAUCUACAAAAGCAAUCAAGAGCCUGCAGUGAGGUCUUUGGGCCCGGAGAACUUGCUGCUUAAAGGGGCAACUUUAAAGAAUACUGAGAAAGUAUGCGGUGUUGCCAUUUACACUGGCAUGGAGACCAAAAUGGCUCUCAAUUAUCAGGGCAAGUCUCAGAAACGCUCUGCUGUGGAGAAGUCCAUCAAUGCCUUCCUUUUGGUGUACCUUUGCAUUUUGGUGAGCAAGGCUCUGGUCUGCACAACGCUCAAGUAUGUGUGGCAAAGCAAGCCUGGGCAGGAUGAGCCUUGGUACAAUGAGAAAACCCAGAAAGUGAGGGACACCAAUCUGUAUCUAAAGAUGUUCACUGAUUUCCUGUCAUUCAUGGUGCUCUUCAACUUCAUCAUUCCCGUGUCCAUGUACGUGACGGUUGAAAUGCAAAAGUUUUUGGGAUCCUUUUUCAUCACCUGGGAUAAGGACUUUUUUGACCCUGAAAUCAAGGAGGGGGCGCUCGUCAACACCUCCGAUCUCAAUGAGGAACUGGGACAGGUGGAGUAUGUCUUCACAGACAAGACAGGGACCCUCACUCAGAAUAACAUGGAGUUCAUUGAGUGCUGCAUCGAUGGAUUCCAGUACAAGCACCGAGACGUGGACUCUGAAGUAGAUGGAUUUUGUGUCACAGAUGGGCCCGUGAACAGUCUGAAGGAAAAAGCUGGCAGAGAACGCGAGGAGCUGUUUCUGCGCGCCCUUUGUCUUUGCCACACGGUCCAGGUGAAAGAGUCCCCCGACCCGAGUCAGGUCCAAGACGGCAGGAUGGCCGAACAGGUAGAUGCCAUCGUACUCCCUCGGGUACUCCACCGUGUCCCUCUGGAUGAGAGGGGCUUCAUCGCAUCCUCCCCUGAUGAGGUUGCUCUGGUCAAAGGUGCCAUGAGGUAUGGCUUCACAUUUCUGGGUCUGGAAAGUAAAGCCAUGAAAAUCCUCAACAGGAGCCAUGAAAUUGAAGUCUAUGACCUGCUUCAUGUGUUGAAUUUUGACCCAGUGAGAAGACGAAUGAGUGUAAUUGUCAAAUGCAAAUCAGGUGAUAUUGUGCUCUUCUGCAAGGGAGCAGACUCCUCCAUUUUUCCUCGCGUCAGACAGGAGGAAGUGGAACCGAUACGUGUGCACGUGGAGCGGAAUGCAAAGGAGGGCUACAGAACACUGUGUGUGGCUUACAAACUACUUGGCACAGAGGAGUAUGCCCGGGUGGACGCGGACCUCAGGGAAGCUAGGCUGGCUCUGCAGGGCAGAGAGGAGAAGCUCAUGGCUGUUUAUAACGAGGUGGAGACGGGCAUGAGUCUCAUCGGGGCGACUGCUGUUGAAGAUCGACUUCAAGAGGAGGCCGCAGAAACUAUGCAGGCUCUGCAGGGGGCCGGCAUUAAGAUCUGGGUCCUGACGGGAGACAAAAUGGAGACGGCAAAGUCUACGUGUUUUGCCUGUCGCUUGUUUCAGAUGACCACUGAGCUGUUGGAGCUAACGGUGCGCACUCUUGAAGAAGGAGGUCGGAAGCGCGAGGAACGGCUGCACGAGCUCUUACUUGAGUAUCACAAGAAGGCGGUGCAGGAUGCGCCAUCUGUAGAAAAUGGCAUUGACGGGAACUGGUCGGUUUCCAGCCACGAAUACGGUUUUAUUAUUGAUGGAGCCACUCUAUCAAUGGUGCUUAACUCCACUGAUUCCAACUCCAGCCACUACAGGACCCUCUUCCUGCAGAUUUGUCAAAACUGCACCUCCGUGCUGUGCUGCCGCAUGGCUCCAUUGCAAAAAGCCCAGAUAGUAAAACUGGUGAAGAACUCGAAAGGCAGCCCGAUUACCCUCUCCAUUGGUGAUGGUGCCAAUGACGUCAGCAUGAUUUUGGAAGCUCACGUUGGCAUUGGAAUCAAGGGUAAAGAGGGUCGACAAGCGGUGAGGAACAGUGACUACGCCAUCCCCAAACUCAAGCACCUGAAGAAACUCCUGCUGGCCCACGGGCAUCUGUACUAUGUUCGCAUUGCACAUUUAGUGCAGUAUUUCUUCUACAAGAACCUGUGCUUCAUCUUACCUCAGUUUUUGUACCAGUUCUUCUGCGGCCAUUCCCAGCAGCCCCUCUAUGAUGCAGCCUAUCUGACGAUGUACAACAUCUGCUUCACCUCUAUGCCCAUCCUGGCUUACAGCCUCUUGGAGCAGCACAUCAGCAUCCAGGCUCUGCUGAGCAAUGCUCCUCUCUACAGAGAGAUUCGCAAGAAUGCCAUGUUGCGAUGGAGGCCCUUCCUCUACUGGACGUUACUGGGGGUCUUCCACGGUUUGGUCUUCUUCUUCGGUGUCCGAUGUUUGUUUCGAAAUUCGGCCCUGCAAGAUGACGGCCAGGUUUAUGGGAACUGGUCAUAUGGCACAAUCGUAUUCACUGUCCUCGUCUUCACUGUCACACUAAAGCUUGCUCUGGACACACGGCACUGGACAUGGAUCAAUCACUUUGUAAUAUGGGGCUCUCUUGCCUUUUACGUGCUUUUCAGCUUCUUCUGGGGGGGAAUUAUUUGGCCGUUUCUGAGGCAGCAGCGUAUGUAUUUUGUGUUUGCCACCAUGCUGAGUUCAUUGUCAGCCUGGUUGGUCAUCAUCGUCCUCAUCGUGCUCAGCCUCCUGCCAGAGAUCCUUCUGGCCGUCUUCCGCAAGCCCUUCACCCCAUUUACUCAGCAGAUGAAGCACCGCCUUCCUUCCUCGGGGACUUCUACUAUCUUCAUGUUGUCGCAGACCGCUAGCACUCAUGGCUUCUCUUGGAGUGACUGAGUACUUGAUGUUGGAGGAGCAGUGCGGAGGACGACUGAAGAGUCUAUGGCCAAAAUGACAAAAAAACCAUCCAGCUCGUCAAGUCUUUCAUUAUUCUGCGUGCUGUUGUAUCAGUCAGCCGUUUGUGUCCUCCCAGCUGUGUCUGCUGCUGCCGCAUGUUCAGCGCAGUGGGGUCAGUUCAGCACGUCUGAGCAUCCACGUCUGCAUGAGGCUCAAGUUGGCAACCACAUAAAAGACAUGCACCGCAAUCCCCCUUCUGGCCACUGCAGUCUGUGUGUCUAUGCGUGUGUAUGUUCGUGCCCUGCAGGGCAAGGGUGGGCCAACAUUUGUGCUCAAAAGUCAUCAUUUUUAUUCUUUUCACAAUGUCUAAAUUUUACCCACUCCUGGUACAUUAGGGGUUGGAGCAAAAUAUAUUCAAUGUCAUGCUCAAUGUCUUAGUCGCUACACUCUAAGUAACACAUCAUUAAAAAAUGUAAGCUUGAACUAAGGUAAGCAACUUAGAACAGUUACUGUAUUUACGAUUCUGGUUUCCUGUUGAAAAAGGCAAUUUUUCCAUGUUCACAUGUCUCGCUGUAUCGUCUUUUUGUGUAUUUUUACCGCUUGUGUCUGACGGCAAUCAUAAGACCGAUGAAGACAAUGUCUGUCUCUGUGUUUGUGCGUGUGCUUGCGUGAGGGGCCAUGAGGGACGCGAUUCAGGAUCAUCUCUUUAUACCCACUACAGAAAGACUUUCCUUCAUUCCAAAACCAAAUUGUUUCGGGCUCACAUUCACAGGUGGAACGCUCAUACGUACGCCGGUGAAAGCCUCAUUCUCCCAAAACGCUCUUGUUUGCAGCAGAUUUUUUUUCUUGCUGAUACAGUUGUGAAACGCACGCACACAUACACGCAAACGCAACUAAAACACUGUCAUUCACAAAAACGCACCAAAGGAAAAACAAUUUCGCUCACAUACACUAACCAAAAACACUUACUCCAGCGCAGUGGUUCUUAACCUUGUGAGGUACCGAACCCAACCAGUUCAUAAUCACAUUCACCGAACCCUUCAUGAGUGAAAAUUAGAAAUAAUAAUAAUGUAAAUAAUCAUGCGUCUGUUUUUUUUUUUUUUUUUUUUUGCUUGACAUAGUUGGCAUGUAUUAGAAAAAAAAUCACACGACGUACUGUCACAGUCGACAGUCACUCGUUGAUGACUGAGCGAGCUAAAUUUCCCGCAGCACUCGCUAGAAAAUGGGCGGCAGAUGACCCGUGGCUGUAGUUUGGAACAUCAAGACAAUUUUUUGGGGGUGGGGGGCUGUGGGCUUAGACACAAUACUGAAGUGCUCUCACAUUGCUGAAAUUCUCUCGUCACGCUAAACGAAAAUUUUCAUUUUUAGUUUAGAAGUACAUUUCAGCAUGGUGUGUCAUCGGAUUUCAACUCUUAUAUGUCCGAGCGUUUCAUUUUGGCUUGUGUGCCCCCCCAAGAAGAGUCUUUCAAUAAUGGGUGUUUGAGGUCAUCCUGAAGUAGCUCCUCGAUUUCCCCUCAUAUGCUUGCCAGCUUAGUUACGUCAAUGGUGUCCUCUUGCCUCACCCUUCUAGAGGAAUCCAGUUGAGUCGAAUGUGGGGGCCGUCCCGUCCCCGCUGUCGUCAACCAGGCCCCUGCUCAUGAGAACCUUUACAGAUGAGUCCAAUAUGGUCAUUUAAACAGGUACCAGUCCGCUCCUGGGCCUUCGAAGCCAAUCUAAGACUGGCUACCCACUCAAGCCCCCGUCAGCUGAUGUCUUCACAGUCCCGACUCCUAACUUAGUCUUACUAGGCACCCAACCCCAAACAAGAUGUGGUGUGUGGCUUUGUGUUGUGAACGUUGAGAUCGGUUGGCUGAAGAGAUGCAUUAUUUCGAGCAAAUUUGUUAAAAUUCUUCAAGAGGUAUGCAAGUGGUUGCAAAAAUCAUCUCUUUUGACCAAAUUGCUCCUUUCAGCCUCCCUUUUGAUGCCUACUCGCUCUCACCCCUCAGCAUCCGCUUUAAAAAAAAAUCGAAAUGUUUCUUUUGAGUGUGAUGAUGAUGAUGCCAACGUUGUUGGGUUUCCACACCCGUCAGUGCGAUUGUGUAUUUGCUGUUGAAGUGCUGUGACGUGAUCAUGUGUGCAUGUUGGAACGAUGCCUUCAUUGUUGGUGUCAACCUCGGGCACGGUGCAAAUGUCACAUGAUUUUAAGAAUUACCCGUGGCUACAGCACUCAUCGUGGUUCUUUUCACAAUCAAAAAUUGCUAACCCUAUUGCAUUCUGUAUUUAUUUUUGGUGAACCAUCUUAAGGAGCCAUUGUUCAGACAUUUUGAAGAAGUUUAUAUUUUCUUUACAGGUUGCGUAUUUGUUGUUUUUUAUGGGGGGGGGGCUUUAAAACGGAUUAAUGGCACUUUGAGUCUGUUCAAUGGGGACGGUGAUUUGAGAUAUGAAUGUUUUGAGUUGCAAGCAUGGUCGCGGAACAAAUGAAAUGAUCUCAAACUGUGUUUGACAAGCGAUUCAUUUUAUAGUCUGUUUUCUUAUUUUGACUUAAGCAACAACCAGUUACAAGUGUUCAAUAUCCAAAUGGUACGAACAAAAGUCUAAACCUAAUUCUGAUAACAUCAACGCUGAUGAAUUAAAACACUUGUGAAAAGAACCAGGAUGACCACAUUUUAAUGAGUGGGGGUGUUCUGGUUACUAACUACUCUUAACACUUUGGGUUUUCAGUGUCCAAAAUGUUCAUAUUGCUGGAGGUUAAAAUGGCUGCCAAACUGUCGAGUGGUAUUUUUGGCAACAUUUUUGCACAACGAUACAAGCAACAUCCUAUGUCACGCUUCCUUCGGAAGCUGCAAACUUCCACCUAUUCUCUCUUGCAAUGUGAACAUUGGAGCUUGUAGCCAUUUUGUUCAUAGUUGUCACGAUGUUUUUUUUUGUGAGUGCGUGUGUGUGUAUAUGAGUGCGUAUGUGUUUGGACCAUAUUCUGUUGUGAGAGCAAAGUGUGUGACCACCACUUUUGAAUGUGCUGCUGAACAAUGGCAUCAGGCGCUUAACCCCCAUUUCUGUUCUCCAACUAGCUGCCCGACGGUGACCUCCUGUGCACAUCCAGGCUGCAGCUGUGGCAACCAUCUCUUACAAGCAACUGAAGGCUCGCCAGUGAACAGAUGCAGCGGCGGUGGCCACAUUUCAGGGUUUCGUGCCAAUCAGGUCAGACGCGUGACCACCGCGGGAGGAGGCAAAACGGCACUUCUGACUCUGGGUUGGGGGGAAAGAAAACCUCAACUCUCCGUCCUCCUUUGUUCAAUUUUAACAACCUAACGUACACAACAUGCCGGCCACUCCUGACUGUAGAGCAGCGCGAUGCAUUCUUUUGUAAAUGUUUGUCAUACAGUCCGAUGACAACUAUUUUGUCUUUUGUCUACAAAUGAAUGCGUACACAGCUGCCUUGUCCCGAGCUCUGACUGCUGUGUUUUAACAAGCAGUCAUAACGUUACCACUCAAACCACUCGAUUGCAGGGGCGGGGAAAUAAUAUUUACAGAAAAAAGUCUUUGUUAAAGCAGUGCUUUCAAGAUGACAAGAUAAGGCCAAUGUGUGUUUAAUGUUUGUUUUUUUUCCGGCAGAUAUAACACUUCAUUCUUUUUGUCUGGAUUUUUUUCAAUCACUAAGUCUGCAAAUUUGUUGCUCAAGGUGGAGAGUUUCCUGAGACCCUGUCCAUGCGCUCUAAAGUCC
Hippocampus zosterae (dwarf seahorse) is the source of this 7693-nucleotide RNA transcript. It is a transcript of the gene named ATPase phospholipid transporting 11C, with no coding region annotated. The transcript is spliced from 31 exons. The record is from RefSeq and is a predicted model, not a curated record. NCBI's taxonomy places the organism in Eukaryota, Metazoa, Chordata, Actinopteri, Syngnathiformes, Syngnathidae.